UGGACGUAUCAGAAGUGCGAAUGCUGACAUGAGUAACGAUAAAGGGGGUGAAAAACCUCCUCGCCGGAAGACCAAGGGUUCCUGUCCAACGUUAAUCGGGGCAGGGUAAGUCGACCCCUAAGGCGAGGCCGAAAGGCGUAGUCGAUGGGAAACGGGUUAAUAUUCCCGUACUUCUUACAAUUGCGAUGGGGGGACGGAGAAGGCUAGGUGGGCCUGGCGACGGUUGUCCAGGUUCAAGUGCGUAGGCUUAAGAGUUAGGUAAAUCCGGCUCUUUUUAAGGCUGAGACACGACGUCGAGCAUCUACGGAUGUGAAGUCAUUGAUGCCAUGCUUCCAGGAAAAGCCUCUAAGCUUCAGAUUGUAAGGAAUCGUACCCCAAACCGACACAGGUGGUCGGGUAGAGAAUACCAAGGCGCUUGAGAGAACUCGGGUGAAGGAACUAGGCAAAAUGGUACCGUAACUUCGGGAGAAGGUACGCUCUCGACGGUGAAGUCCCUCGCGGAUGGAGCUAUUGAGAGUCGCAGAUACCAGGUGGCUGCAACUGUUUAUUAAAAACACA
This 558-nucleotide ribosomal RNA is filed under the name Vibrio parahaemolyticus. RNAcentral's name for it is "partial 23S ribosomal RNA". It matches the Rfam family "Bacterial large subunit ribosomal RNA", at positions 1274 to 1817 of the family's 2925-position model. The record is from RNAcentral. Lineage: Bacteria; Pseudomonadati; Pseudomonadota; Gammaproteobacteria; Vibrionales; Vibrionaceae.